RNAcentral lists this ribosomal RNA (960 nucleotides) under Allophoma minor. RNAcentral describes it as "partial large subunit ribosomal RNA". It matches the Rfam family "Eukaryotic large subunit ribosomal RNA", at positions 68 to 1048 of the family's 3401-position model. Lineage: Eukaryota; Fungi; Ascomycota; Dothideomycetes; Pleosporales; Didymellaceae. RNAcentral also lists the same sequence under 3 other names. The record is from RNAcentral.
ACAGGGAUUGCCCUAGUAACGGCGAGUGAAGCGGCAACAGCUCAAAUUUGAAAUCUGGCGUCUUCGGCGUCCGAGUUGUAAUUUGCAGAGGGCGCUUUGGCAUUGGCAGCGGUCCAAGUUCCUUGGAACAGGACGUCACAGAGGGUGAGAAUCCCGUACGUGGUCGCUAGCCUUUACCGUGUAAAGCCCCUUCGACGAGUCGAGUUGUUUGGGAAUGCAGCUCUAAAUGGGAGGUAAAUUUCUUCUAAAGCUAAAUACUGGCCAGAGACCGAUAGCGCACAAGUAGAGUGAUCGAAAGAUGAAAAGCACUUUGGAAAGAGAGUUAAAAAGCACGUGAAAUUGUUGAAAGGGAAGCGCUUGCAGCCAGACUUGCCUGUAGUUGCUCAUCCGGGUUUCUACCCGGUGCACUCUUCUAUAGGCAGGCCAGCAUCAGUUUGGGCGGUUGGAUAAAGGUCUCUGUCAUGUACCUCCUCUCGGGGAGAACUUAUAGGGGAGACGACAUGCAACCAGCCCGGACUGAGGUCCGCGCAUCUGCUAGGAUGCUGGCGUAAUGGCUGUAAGCGGCCCGUCUUGAAACACGGACCAAGGAGUCUAACAUCUAUGCGAGUGUUUGGGUGUCAAGCCCGAACGCGUAAUGAAAGUGAACGGAGGUGGGAACCUUUCGGGGUGCACCAUCGACCGAUCCUGAUGUCUUCGGAUGGAUUUGAGUAAGAGCAUAGCUGUUGGGACCCGAAAGAUGGUGAACUAUGCUUGAAUAGGGUGAAGCCAGAGGAAACUCUGGUGGAGGCUCGCAGCGGUUCUGACGUGCAAAUCGAUCGUCAAAUUUGGGCAUAGGGGCGAAAGACUAAUCGAACUAUCUAGUAGCUGGUUCCUGCCGAAGUUUCCCUCAGGAUAGCAGUAACGUUUUCAGUUUUAUGAGGUAAAGCGAAUGAUUAGAGGCCUGGGGGUUGAAACAACCUU